GCUCUGUGUGCAUAUACCAUCUGUAUGCACACAGAGGUGCUGUGCCUGGCUUCUGUUUUCUCCCUAAAAUGCCCCAUCCCAGCCUGUUGCCAUUCCCUGUGCCUUGACUUUGGGGACGCCCCACGCUCAGGGUUGGCUCCCUUCCGUCCAUCUGUCCGUCCAUCCCACUACAGCGAGCUCAGCAGAGCCCCCAUACGCACACCCACAGCCAUGGGAUGGGAGCCCUCGGUGAAUGUAUAUACAGGUGUAUUGGAGAGCAGGGCCGGGCUCACCCCUGGAGAGGGAUUUUGGUCCCCAGAUGGGCAGUGAGGGCAGCGAGGACCUCGAUUCUGCUCAAAGCAAGGAUUAGGGCUGCAGAUGAGUGCAGUGGAUUUGAGGCUUACAAUGUGAGUGUGGAGGCACACCCCCCGUGGACCCUUGGGAUUAGGUACGAAGCUCCCUCACCCACCUGCUUGGCUCUGGCAUAGGGAGGGGGCGAGCUCAGUGGCCCCUGUCCUGCAGAACUUCCCUCCUCCCCCUCCUCCUCCUCGCUGCCCCAUGGCACGCAGGUACGAUUUGGCCGCAGGACGGUUUGGGAAGGGGCACGGCCGGGGGGUCCCCUACCCCUCCUGUCCCCAUCGGGUUUAACCACAACCCCAAAGGUACUGUCAGGACGGUGCUGAGCCCGACCCAGCCUGAGCCCCCACCCCGGCUGGACCGUGUGCCAUUUCUCGCAAUGGUGCCUGAUGUAACCCUGGCUGUCGCCCCAAAUGCUGCACCCCACUAUAGCAAUAGCACCCCGGCAGCAUCCCGCCCCGAAGCCAAGCUGAAGCUUUAAACUCCACUCCCCAGGGUGGGGGAGCGGGAACAGGACCAGGACCCCCCCCCCGGCCCAAAGGGAGCUCUGGGACAGGCGGCAGUGGCCGGAGCGUGGGGGCAAGUGGGUCCCCCUCCCAGCACAGGCUGUUGUAGACUCCCCCCCUAGAGACACGUAUCUGUGACCCCUACCCUGCCCUCCCCCGAAACCCACCAUUUUUUUAUUUUCCAUUUUCCUUUUUUUUAAAUAUUAUGUACUAUAUUUUUAGUCUUAAACACGA
RNAcentral lists this long non-coding RNA (1076 nucleotides) under Gallus gallus (chicken). The record is from RNAcentral. Lineage: Eukaryota; Metazoa; Chordata; Aves; Galliformes; Phasianidae.